RNAcentral lists this ribosomal RNA (749 nucleotides) under Mecodema occiputale. RNAcentral describes it as "partial 16S ribosomal RNA". The stretch from base 1 to 581 matches the Rfam family "Bacterial large subunit ribosomal RNA", at positions 1830 to 2925 of the family's 2925-position model. Lineage: Eukaryota; Metazoa; Arthropoda; Insecta; Coleoptera; Carabidae. The record is from RNAcentral.
GUCCUUUUGUUAUAUAUAUAAGGUUUAACCUGCCCACUGAAUAAUUUAAAUGGCCGCAGUAUUUUAACUGUGCAAAGGUAGCAUAAUCAUUAGUUUUUUAAUUAAAAGCUUGUAUGAAAGGUUGGACGAGGUAAAGACUGUCUUUAUUUAAUUAAUUAUAAAAUUUAAUUUUUAAGUUAAAAAGCUUAAAUUUUUUUAAAAGACGAGAAGACCCUAUAGAUCUUUAUAUUUAAUAUUUUAUUUUUAAUUAAGAUUUAUUUAAGUUUUAUUAUAUUGAAUAUUUUAUUGGGGUAAUAAGAAGAUUAAAAAAAUUCUUUUAUUUUUUAUUCAUUGAUUAGUGUUUAAAUGAUCCAAUUUUAUUGAUUAUAAGAAUAAGUUACCUUAGGGAUAACAGCGUAAUUUUUUUAGAGAGUUCAUAUCGAUAAAAAAGUUUGCGACCUCGAUGUUGGAUUAAAGAUUAAUUUAGGUGUAGAUGUUUAAAUUUUUGGUCUGUUCGACCAUUAAAUCUUUACAUGAUCUGAGUUCAGACCGGUGUAAGCCAGGUCGGUUUCUAUCUUUAAUAAUAUAAUAUAUUUUAGUACGAAAGGACCAAAUAUAUAAUAUAUAAAUAUUUUUUAUUUUUGAAUAUUAUUAAUUACUUUGGCAGAUUAGUGUAAUGAAUUUAGAAUUCAUGUAUGUAAAUAUUUACAAGUAAUACUUGUUUUUUAUAGAUUUAUUAUUUUCUUUUAUUUGUAUGUUAUUAUUAAUUA